Long non-coding RNA from Macrobrachium nipponense, 495 nucleotides. RefSeq lists it as uncharacterized. The transcript has 3 exons. The record is from RefSeq and is a predicted model, not a curated record. Lineage: Eukaryota; Metazoa; Arthropoda; Malacostraca; Decapoda; Palaemonidae.
AGGGUAACAUGGCAUAUAUUAAUGAUGCUUGUAAUAGUGUAUCAAAAGACAGCCAUCCAGAAGUUAUAGAGAGUGUUUCAAAGCUCAACAAUCAGUGGGAACUUACAACUAGUGAUCUCAAAUCUCGCAUUAAAACCAUGGAGAAAUUGAUAGAACGACAGAAGCAGUACAAUGAUGAAGUAACAUGGGCUGAAAUCAUGGCUAGCAGAAUUAAAGUUACAUCUUUUUGCAAGCAGAAGAAGCAGCUUUAGGUGAUAUAGAAACUCUAGAGGCUCAGCUUGAGCAGUCAAAUGCUCUUCAAGAUGAUAUUGCAACUCUACAAAACAACUUUAGAAAUAUUUCAACAACUGGGAAGCAGCUUUUGGAGGAAGGUAAUGGAGAGCUUAAAACCAUGGUGAAAAGCCAGCUGGAAGAGCUUACGGCUCGAUGGGACACUGUCACUGAACAAGCACGUGUCCAAAAUAAGUCCCUGAAAGAAGCAUUAGCUAAGAGUCA